GACGAACGCUGGCGGCGUGCUUAACACAUGCAAGUCGAACGGAAAGGCCCUGCUUUUGUGGGGUGCUCGAGUGGCGAACGGGUGAGUAACACGUGAGUAACCUGCCCUUGACUUUGGGAUAACUUCAGGAAACUGGGGCUAAUACCGGAUAGGAGCUCCUGCUGCAUGGUGGGGGUUGGAAAGUUUCGGCGGUUGGGGAUGGACUCGCGGCUUAUCAGCUUGUUGGUGGGGUAGUGGCUUACCAAGGCUUUGACGGGUAGCCGGCCUGAGAGGGUGACCGGCCACAUUGGGACUGAGAUACGGCCCAGACUCCUACGGGAGGCAGCAGUGGGGAAUAUUGCACAAUGGGCGAAAGCCUGAGGCAGCAACGCCGCGUGCGGGAUGACGGCCUUCGGGUUGUAAACCGCUUUCGCCUGUGACGAAGCGUGAGUGACGGUAAUGGGUAAAGAAGCACCGGCUAACUACGU
This 467-nucleotide ribosomal RNA is filed under the name uncultured bacterium. RNAcentral describes it as "partial 16S ribosomal RNA". It matches the Rfam family "Bacterial small subunit ribosomal RNA", at positions 28 to 506 of the family's 1533-position model. The record is from RNAcentral.